This 2999-nucleotide long non-coding RNA is filed under the name Sus scrofa (pig). RNAcentral's name for it is "lncRNA (ENSSSCG00015021102.1, ENSSSCG00030063724.1, ENSSSCG00040026445.1)". The record is from RNAcentral. Lineage: Eukaryota; Metazoa; Chordata; Mammalia; Artiodactyla; Suidae.
GCGGGUUCCCUGGCCAUGCCCAGCGGGCCGAGGGAAAGGCUCCGACGGGGCUGCCCGGGUCCUGGCGCACGUCUGCGGACCGACCCUGGGCAUGAAAAGGUCACAGCCGCCAGGGCUGCGUCUCCGACGGUGGCCACCCUAGGUGUGCCGAUCCCGAGAAGCCGGGACCCCGGGUAACCGGCUGCUCAGCGAAGCCUGCCCCCUCCUCGAGUCCGACGGCAGGGCUUCCCGGUCCUGGGAACCCUGUCUGGGCGCUGCUGACCCAUCUCUCUUGUCGGAUGUCAGAGGGGCUAAUGUGGUUUCCAAAACUGGGAGAGAGGACGAAAGGAAGAGCCUGCGCUCUGUACUUGCUUCAAGGAGACGCAAGAAUCAGAGAACUGGCCCCCGCCCAAGACUGUAAGUGAUGGUCCAAGGAUGGGGUGUACCUGUGGGAACUUUGUGUUGCCUGAAGAGGACCCUGGUUUCAGGACUGGGGUCACACAGUACAGGUGCCCUGGCUGAUGGGCGCAGCCUCACCAGGAACUGCCAAGGUGGUCAUACCCCAAGAGGCCUUCAGGUGUGGUUGGUAGCGAAGGAGGGGCCUCUUUGCCUCAGGUGGAACAGCUUUGCAGUGGCAGUCAUGCUCUGUGGCUGCCCGUGGGAUCAGGCUGAGUUUUCUCUGUCCUCCAGAAAUCUUUAUGAGUAGCUGCUCAAAAGGAUGGGAAGCACUUGGCGUAAUAGUCCUAAGAAAAUCAUCCUGUCUCAACCAGAGCUUGAUCUUCUGCCUGCUGCUCUCAGGCUUGAUCAUGAGACUUGCUUUGGCCAACAACCUGCGAGUGGAGGUGAUGUUUGCUGUUUCUGGGCAGAAGCUCUAAGAGCUAGCCCAUAGUUCUCCACGUCCUCUCCCUGCAUCUGUCUUUGUUAGGAUGUCAGCUUGGGUUCUCAGUGAUUCAAAGCUGGUUGUUGACCCAGGAUGGAUGUGCACGAUUUUUAUUGUAUUCUUGCACAGAGAGUACAAGAGCAAUAUCAAGAAACACACAGCUCUAAGAUUCAUAAGUUGAACUCCAGCCCCCAGCCUGGCCGCGUUUGGAGAUGGGAAUUCUUAGGAAGUUAAGUGAGCUCUAAGGGUGGGGUCCCCGCCUCAUAGGAAUAGUGUCUUCUACGAGGAGACACCAGAGGGCGCUCUCGAUGCUCCCACUCCGAGGAAAGGCCAGGGGAGGACCCAGCGAGAAGGUGACCGGCGGCCUGCAAGGGGAAAGAGCCCUCAUCAGGAAUUGCAUCAGCCAGCACCUUGAUCUUGGACUUCUAGCCUUCAGAACUAUGAGGAAAUGAAUUUCUGCUGUUUAUGUCACUCGAUCUACAGUAUUUUGUCAUAACAGCCCAAAAUGCAAUUCAUACAAAAGGAAGUAUUUCAGAGAAGACUAUCAUGACUUUUUUUUGGCCAAGCCUGUGGAAGUUCCUUGGCCAGCAGUAGCCCUGUGAUCAGUGACAAAGCCAAGUCCUUAACCUCUAGGGCACCAGGGUUUAUGGUGAAACUGGAGCAGUGAAUUCUGGUGGAAUUACUUGGGAAUACAGGCAUAUGCAUGACAGUCUGGGGAAGCCAUGUUUGUGUUGUUCGAGGUGAAGAAUUAUCAUCAAUAUGCUGCUUACAUCAUAGGCUGUCCAGUGAAGAUGAAGUUUCCAACAAGGGCCUAGAAGCUCAUGAGCAUAAAGUGCUGGUGCCCUCUCAGGAAGGCUGUGAGCUGGAAGUCACUGCCAGAGAUCGAAUCCACAACCUCAUGGUUCCUAGUCAAAUUCAUUUCUGCUGCGCCAUGACCGGAACUCCGGAUUCUGUGUUUUUAAUGAAUGCACCUGAGGAAUUUUUAUGAUGGUAAGUUUGGUAAACACUGCUUUAGUCCCGCCCAGGUUGGGAUCAGAAUUCUCUUACCCAAAAGGCUGGGCAAGAUUGAGAAGCAGGGCUUCUGGUUUCAGAGGGACAUACAAGCAGUCUGUUAGGAGGCAUCCUGGAGCUAGGAUGCUGUCUGGGGGAGCGGGCUGCCACUUCCUGGGUGCUGGAUUUAGAGGACUGAGGUGUUCACAGUGAGGCUCCGGUGCUCAUGGGAACCGAGGUGACCCUGAGGGAGAGAAUGGCAGUCACGCAUCCCAGCCACAGGUGAGGGCUCUUGACGCAAACGGAAGAUUUAGGCUGGGUAGGAUUCCUAUCUCAUGGCCCAGGGAGGCUGUGGGGAAAGGCCGCUCACUCGUGGGUCAACAGCAGGGGGCGUCUCUCCUGAAAAGGAUCUUGUUCUUGGAUGGUAACCACUGGGGUGAACGGACGGUCCUUAGGAAACCAGAGCUCACCACGGAGACUAGACAGGCAGCGAGGUAACCAGUGUGUUUCAAGCCUUUCUCGUUGGGGUCCAGAUGCGAAAGGAGCUGGUGUCCUUGAAGUUCACGGUCUUGAGUUCAUCAGGGUGGCGGUGGGUGUGCCCUGGGAUAGCUGUCCCUAAGAAGAAGGGAGGACCUGAGCCGGGUGGCGCCGAGGAGCCCCUUCCCGAGGAGCCCCUUCCCACCUGGGAGCCCGCCGCCCUGGAGGGUGCCCUUGGGGUGGAUCUUCCUCAGGUGAGACCAGAGCAGGCAGGUCGAGGUGGGCGUGAGAUGUAAGGGAAUGAUUGGUUGUUUGAUCGGCCCAGAGUGGGACUUAUUGGACCGAGAGGUAAUGCUUUUGGCUCUGAUGGUUCCUAGAAACGGAAUGUUUGUGGCCCCACCGGCCCCCUAUUCAUAGUUUGAAACCUAAUCCCCAAUGUGAAGGUGUUUGGAGGCCCUGGGAGGCGAUUAGGGCAUCAGGGUGGGGCCGAUGCGGAUGGAUUCGUGCCCUUGUAAGCGGAGGAAGAGUCGGAGUUCUCCCAUCGCUGCCUGAGGACGAGGCAAGAACACGGGCUCAGGGAACAGUGAGCUGGCCCUCACCAGACUCAGAAUCUGCUUGAUCCUGGACUUUCCAGCCUCUAGGACUGUGAGAAAUAAAUGUCUGCUGUUUAUAA